UGGGGAAUAUUGCACAAUGGAGGGAACUCUGAUGCAGCGACGCCGCGUGAACGAAGAAGGCUUUCGAGUCGUAAAGUUCUUUUAUAUGGGAAGAUAAUGACGGUACCAAAAGAAAAAGCCCCGGCUAACUACGUGCCAGCAGCCGCGGUAAUACGUAGGGGGCUAGCGUUGUCCGGAAUCACUGGGCGUAAAGGGUUCGCAGGCGGAAAUGCAAGUCAGGUGUAAAAGGCAGUAGCUUAACUACUGUAAGCAUUUGAAACUGCAUAUCUUGAGAAGAGUAGAGGUAAGUGGAAUUUUUAGUGUAGCGGUGAAAUGCGUAGAUAUUAAAAAGAAUACCGGUGGCGAAGGCGGCUUACUGGGCUCAUUCUGACGCUGAGGAACGAAAGCGUGGGUAGCAAACAGG
This 403-nucleotide ribosomal RNA is filed under the name bacterium. Its description in RNAcentral is "partial 16S ribosomal RNA". It matches the Rfam family "Bacterial small subunit ribosomal RNA", at positions 355 to 776 of the family's 1533-position model. The record is from RNAcentral.